UGUGGGAGCGGGCUUGCCCGCGAUAGCGCUCUUUCAGCCAAGUAUCCAUUGGCUGACACACCGCAAUCGCGGGCAAGCCCGCUCCCACA
RNAcentral lists this non-coding RNA (89 nucleotides) under Pseudomonas tolaasii NCPPB 2192. The record is from RNAcentral. Lineage: Bacteria; Pseudomonadati; Pseudomonadota; Gammaproteobacteria; Pseudomonadales; Pseudomonadaceae.